ACGGGUGAGUAACGCGUGGAUAAUCUACCCAAUGAUCUGGGAUAACAUCUCGAAAGGGGUGCUAAUACCGGAUAAGACCACGGAGUCUCUGGAUUCUGCGGUAAAAGGUGGGGACCUUCGGGCCUACCGUCAUCGGAUGAGUCCGCGUACCAUUAGCUAGUUGGUAGGGUAAUGGCCUACCAAGGCUACGAUGGUUAGCUGGUCUGAGAGGAUGAUCAGCCACACUGGAACUGAGACACGGUCCAGACUCCUACGGGAGGCAGCAGUGGGGAAUUUUGCGCAAUGGGGGAAACCCUGACGCAGCAACGCCGCGUGAGUGAUGAAGGCUUUCGGGUCGUAAAGCUCUGUCAGAAGGGAAGAAAUGUAGAGGUGCUAAUAUCACUUUUACUUGACGGUACCUUCAAAGGAAGCACCGGCUAACUCCGUGCCAGCAGCCGCGGUAAUACGGAGGGUGCGAGCGUUGUUCGGAAUUAUUGGGCGUAAAGCGCGUGUAGGCGGUCUUUUAAGUCUGAUGUGAAAGCCCCGGGCUCAACCCGGGAAGUGCAUUGGAUACUGGGAGACUUGAAUACGGGAGAGGGUAGUGGAAU
RNAcentral lists this ribosomal RNA (587 nucleotides) under uncultured bacterium. RNAcentral describes it as "bacterial SSU rRNA". It matches the Rfam family "Bacterial small subunit ribosomal RNA", at positions 102 to 667 of the family's 1533-position model. The record is from RNAcentral.